GGAUGCCUAGUGNAUGCCUAGAAGGCGAUGAAGGACGUGAUAAUCUGCGAUAAGCUUCGGGGAGUGGGUAAAUACACUUUGAUCCGGAGAUCUCCGAAUGGGGCAACCCAUCCCACUUGUGGGAUAUCUCUAUCUGAAUACAUAGGAUAGUGAGGCGAACCUGGGGAACUGAAACAUCUAAGUACCCAGAGGAAAAGAAAUCAACCGAGAUUCCGUGAGUAGUGGCGAACGAAAGCGGAACAGCCCUGUAACAUAAUGUUUGUAAUGUCUAAUAGAACAGAAUGGAAAGUCUGACCAUAGUGGGUGAUAGUCCCGUACAUGAAAGGCAUUAUAAGUUGGUUACGAUGAGUAGGUCGGGACACGUGUUAUCUUGACUGAAUAUGGGGGGACCAUCCUCCAAGGCUAAAUACUCUCUGCUGACCGAUAGCGAACCAGUACCGUGAGGGAAAGGUGAAAAGAACCCCUGUUAGGGGAGUGAAAUAGAACCUGAAACCGUAUGCAUACAAGCAGUAGGAGCACGUUUAUCGUGUGACUGCGUACCUUUUGUAUAAUGGGUCAGCGACUUACUUGCAGUGGCAAGCUUAACCGAAUAGGGGAGGCAUAGGGAAACCGAGUCUUAAUAGGGCGUUUUAGUCGCUGUGAGUAGACCCGAAACCGGGCGAUCUAUCCAUGGCCAGGGUGAAGGCUAGGUAACACUAGCUGGAGGCCCGAACCCACUAAUGUUGAAAAAUUAGGGGAUGAGCUGUGGAUAGGAGUGAAAGGCUAAUCAAGCCCGGAGAUAGCUGGUUCUCCUCGAAAUCUAUUUAGGUAGAGCCUCGUGUAUAACUCCUGGGGGUAGAGCACUGUUUAGGCUAGGGGGCUGUCAAGGCUUACCAAACCUAUGCAAACUCCGAAUACCAGGAAGUUUGAGCACGGGAGACACACUGCGGGUGAUAACGUCCGUAGUGGAAAGGGAAACAACCCAGACCGCCGGCUAAGGUCCCAAAAUCACAGUUAAGUGGAAAACGUUGUAGGAAGUCAUAAACAGCCAGGAGGUUGGCUUAGAAGCAGCCAUCCUUUAAAGAUAGCGUAAUAGCUCACUGGUCGAGUCGUCCUGCGCGGAAGAUUUAACGGGGCUAAAACUGUGUACCGAAGCCGCGGAGUCAAAGCUUGCUUUGACUGGUAGAGGAGCGUUCUGUAGGCCGUUGAAGGUGAACUGAGAAGUUUGCUGGAGGUAUCAGAAGUGCGAAUGCUGACAUAAGUAACGAUAAUGCGAGUGAAAAACUCGCACGCCGAAAGUCCAAGGUUUCCUUGCGCAACGUUAAUCGACGCAGGGUGAGUCGGCCCCUAAGGCGAGGCAGAAAUGCGUAGUCGAUGGGAAACAGGUUAAUAUUCCUGUACUUGGUAAUACUGCGAUGGGAGGACGGAGAAAGCUAGGCCAGCCAAUUAAUGGUUAUAUUGGUUUAAGCAUGUAGGAAGAGUCUUUAGGCAAAUCCGGAGACUUAAUUCUGAGAUGUGAUGACGACUCAUACAAGCUUGCUUGUAAGAGGAAGUGGUUGAUGCUAUGCUUCCAAGAAAAGUCCCUAAGCUUCAGGUAUUACUGAACCGUACCCCAAACCAACACAGGUGGACAGGUAGAGAAUACCAAGGCGCUUAAGAGAACUCGGGUGAAGGAACUAGGCAAAAUAGCACCGUAACUUCGGGAGAAGGUGCGCCCUUUUUGGUGAAGAGACUUGCUCUUGGAGCUGAGAAGGGCCGCAGUGACCAGAUGGCUGCGACUGUUUAUUAAAAACACAGCACUCUGCAAACUCGCAAGAGGAGGUAUAGGGUGUGACGCCUGCCCGGUGCCGGAAGGUUAAUUGAUGUGGUUAAUUAUCUUCGGAUGAUGAAGCUAUUGAUCGAAGCCCCGGUGAACGGCGGCCGUAACAAUAACGGUCCUAAGGUAGCGAAAUUCCUUGUCGGGUAAGUUC
RNAcentral lists this ribosomal RNA (1949 nucleotides) under metagenome. RNAcentral's name for it is "bacterial LSU rRNA". It matches the Rfam family "Bacterial large subunit ribosomal RNA", at positions 15 to 1983 of the family's 2925-position model. The record is from RNAcentral.